GACGAACGCUGGCGGCGUGCUUAACACAUGCAAGUCGAACGGAAAGGCCCUGCUUUUGUGGGGUGCUCGCGUGGCGAACGGGUGAGUAACACGUGAGUAACCUGCCCUUGACUUUGGGAUAACUUCAGGCAACUGGUGCUAAUACCGGAUAGGAGCUCCUGCUGCAUGGUGGGGGUUGGACAGUUUCGGCGGUUGGGGAUGGACUCGCGGCUUAUGAGCUUGUUGGUGGGGUAGUGGCUUACCAAGGCCUUGACGGGUAGCCGGCCUGAGAGGGUGACCGGGCACAGUGGGACUGAGAGACGGCCCAGACGCCUACGGGAGGCAGCAGGGGGGAAUAUUGCACAAUGGGCGGAAGCCUGAGGCAGAAACGCCGCGAGCGGGAUGAAGGCCUUCGGGUGGUAAACCGCUUUCGCCUGUGACGAAGCGUGAGUGACGGUAAUGGGUAAAGAAGCACCGGCUAACUACGUG
RNAcentral lists this ribosomal RNA (468 nucleotides) under uncultured bacterium. RNAcentral's name for it is "partial 16S ribosomal RNA". It matches the Rfam family "Bacterial small subunit ribosomal RNA", at positions 28 to 507 of the family's 1533-position model. The record is from RNAcentral.